Molecule: ribosomal RNA, 912 nt
Filed under: Penicillium cosmopolitanum
Lineage: Eukaryota; Fungi; Ascomycota; Eurotiomycetes; Eurotiales; Aspergillaceae
Description: LSU rRNA
Rfam family: Eukaryotic large subunit ribosomal RNA
Source: RNAcentral
CUAGCAUAUCAAUAAGCGGAGGAAAAGAAACCAACCGGGAUUGCCCUAGUAACGGCGAGUGAAGCGGCAAGAGCUCAAAUUUGAAAGCUGGCUCCUUCGGGGUCCGCAUUGUAAUUUGCAGAGGAUGCUUCGGGAGCGGUCCCCAUCUAAGUGCCCUGGAACGGGCCGUCAUAGAGGGUGAGAAUCCCGUAUGGGAUGGGGUGCCCGCGCCCGUGUGAAGCUCCUUCGACGAGUCGAGUUGUUUGGGAAUGCAGCUCUAAUUGGGUGGUAAAUUUCAUCUAAAGCUAAAUAUUGGCCGGAGACCGAUAGCGCACAAGUAGAGUGAUCGAAAGAUGAAAAGCACUUUGAAAAGAGAGUUAAACAGCACGUGAAAUUGUUGAAAGGGAAGCGCUUGCGAUCAGACUCGCUCGCGGGGUUCAGCCGGCCUUCGGGCCGGUGUACUUCCCCGCGGGCGGGCCAGCGUCGGUUUGGGCGGCCGGUCAAAGGCCCCUGGAAUGUAACGCCUCUCGGGGCGUCUUAUAGCCAGGGGUGCCAUGCGGCCUGCCCGGACCGAGGAACGCGCUUCGGCUCGGACGCUGGCAUAAUGGUCGUAAGCGACCCGUCUUGAAACACGGACCAAGGAGUCUAACAUCUACGCGAGUGUUCGGGUGUCAAACCCGUGCGCGCAGUGAAAGCGAACGGAGGUGGGAACCCCUCGGGGUGCACCAUCGACCGAUCCUGAUGUCUUCGGAUGGAUUUGAGUAAGAGCGUAGCUGUUGGGACCCGAAAGAUGGUGAACUAUGCCUGAAUAGGGCGAAGCCAGAGGAAACUCUGGUGGAGGCUCGCAGCGGUUCUGACGUGCAAAUCGAUCGUCAAAUUUGGGUAUAGGGGCGAAAGACUAAUCGAACCAUCUAGUAGCUGGUUCCUGCCGAU